AGGGUUUGAUCAUGGCUCAGAUUGAACGCUGGCGGCAUGCCUAACACAUGCAAGUCGAACGGUAACAGAUAAGAUGAUCUCUUCGGAGUGAAUCUUUGCUGACGAGUGGCGGACGGGUGAGUAAUGCUUGGGAAUCUGCCCAAUAGUGGGGGAAAACUCGGGGAAACCCGGGCUAAUACCGCAUAAUCUCUACGGAGGAAAGAGGGCCUCUACAUGUAAGCUCUCGCUAAUAGAUGAGCCCAAGUCAGAUUAGCUAGUUGGUAAGGUAAUGGCUUACCAAGGCUACGAUCUGUAGCUGGUCUGAGGGGAUGAUCAGCCACACUGGGACUGAGACACGGCCCAGACUCCUACGGGAGGCAGCAGUGGGGAAUAUUGCACAAUGGGCGCAAGCCUGAUGCAGCAAUGCCGCGUGUGUGAAGAAGGCUCUAGGGUUGUAAAGCACUUUCAAUAGAGAAGAAAAGCUUGAAAUUAAUACUUUCAAGCCUUGACGUAAUCUAUACAAGA
This 504-nucleotide ribosomal RNA is filed under the name uncultured bacterium. RNAcentral's name for it is "bacterial SSU rRNA". It matches the Rfam family "Bacterial small subunit ribosomal RNA", at positions 8 to 488 of the family's 1533-position model. The record is from RNAcentral.